Long non-coding RNA from Ipomoea triloba (trilobed morning glory), 812 nucleotides. RefSeq lists it as uncharacterized. The record is from RefSeq and is a predicted model, not a curated record. NCBI's taxonomy places the organism in Eukaryota, Viridiplantae, Streptophyta, Magnoliopsida, Solanales, Convolvulaceae. The transcript has 2 exons.
UGUCCGUUGUUUCUUUCCGACAUCCUUGUGUUUUCCGGCCAUUAUAGUUGAGAUUUAUUGUUUGUUGGUUCAACUGACGCAAAGCUUGAAAAUUUCUUUGGACAAUGGCUUAUCAUCUUUGAGUUUCACUAUCUAAAGGCAAUGUGUUGUUAUUCUAGAUGAGAUUUGCUAUUGUAAAUAUCAUUGGCAGAGUGGUAGAGAUAUACAGAGGGAUAUUGGUGGGCGGAUGGUUAGGCUCAUUGACUUUGUCCUAGAAGAUGCAAGUGAGAAUCAACUACACUGUACAGUUUGGGAUGCUCAUGUGGAUCAGCUGCUCCCUCAUUUCAAUUCUACCUCAAUUGAGCCAGUCGUUCUAUUGUUGCAGUUAUGCAGACCCAGGUUUCUAGACAAUAAGUAAUAUGCUCCUAAAUAAUUUUUUUUGUCCUGAUUUCAUAAUCACAAAUCAUAUCAAGUGAAGGUAAAAUAAAAGUAUUGGUUACCUGUUGAAAUGGUUUAUUUGUUCUAAUCCAUCUAUUCUUGGUUGUCAAUCUUUCCCAUCCUCAUCCUUUGUAGUGUUCUGUCUGCAAUAACAAAGUAAGAAUGUUAGACUUUUAACAUGUCUGAGUUUGUUUAGGUGGUGGAGUUAGAAUUUUCAGUUCCUUUGAUGCGACUAAGCUAUUGUUUCAUCAUAAGAGUCCGUAGUUCACUACAUUUGUAAAGAGGUAAGUUUAUGAUUUAGUGUUGAUUCUAAUUUUUUAUCCCUUGGCAUAGGGAACUGUCAGAGCUGGUUGGUAUAUCAGCAGAAAAUCUACUUAACAAGUAUGGGGUGGUAA